GAUGAACGCUGGCGGCGUGCCUAAUACAUGCAAGUCGAGCGAACACACGAGGCGCUUUCCCCUUUGACGUUAGCGGCGGACGCGUGAGUAACAUGUGGGUAACCCACCCAUAUGACUGGGAUAACCUAGUGAAAACGGUACCAAUUCCCGCUUAUCUUCCCAACCGCAUGGUUCGAUAGCGAAAGACCGCUUUGCUACCACUUUUCGCUGGUCCUGGUCCGUAUUAGCUAGUUGGUAAGGUAACGGCUUACCAAGGCAACGAUACGUAGCCGACCUGAGAGGAUGAUCAGCCACACUGGAACUGAGACACGGUCCAGACUCCUACGGGAGGCAGCAGUAGGGAAUAUUGCGCAAUGGGCGAAAGCCUGAUGGAGCAACGCCGCGUGAGUGAUGAAGGUCUUCGGAUCGUAAAGCACUGUUAUUGGGGAAGAACAAACGAAUGAGAAAAUGUGCACGUCUUGACGGUACCUAAAGAGAAAGCAACGGCUAACUACGUG
This 497-nucleotide ribosomal RNA is filed under the name uncultured bacterium. RNAcentral's name for it is "partial 16S ribosomal RNA". It matches the Rfam family "Bacterial small subunit ribosomal RNA", at positions 28 to 507 of the family's 1533-position model. The record is from RNAcentral.